Molecule: long non-coding RNA, 295 nt
Filed under: Phoenix dactylifera (date palm)
Lineage: Eukaryota; Viridiplantae; Streptophyta; Magnoliopsida; Arecales; Arecaceae
Description: long non-coding RNA (PDAC_LNC019275)
Source: RNAcentral
AUAUUAUGUGUUAAGUCAUGCAUUAAGAUAUUAAGAACAAGCAUGUCAAGGAUCAAAAUCAAUUCUUUUCAAAUAAACUCCCCCUAUUUAAAUAUAAUCUUGCAUUGAUUUCAUCCUUAAGGUGUGUUUCCAAGUGACAAAGAAAUUGAAUUGAUUCUUCUUAUAUAUUUUCAUUUACUUUGUCUUUCAUUUUUACUUUCUUAUGCUCUAUAUUCUAUUUGCUCCCUAUCCGGUGGAGUUGGAAGGGGCACGAGGUACUACCACUAGCCUCCCUCUUGUGCCGUCCCUAAUAUGC